UUGCAUCCUACAAUUAACCAAUUUGAUCCAGAGCCUUCAGUUGAAUUUAACACUGUUGCCAAUAAGAAGCAGCAGCACGAAGUGAAUGUUGCCAUUUCAAAUUCCUUCGGAUUUGGUGGACACAACUCGGUUGUGGCCUUUUCUGCAUUUAAGCCCUGACCAUCUGAAUUGUCUGCGAAUCAUUUUCUGCAAUUCAAGGCUGGCUAUUUUCCUUUUCUGCAUUUAUCGCAGGAACUAGUCUUUGCUUAAUUGUGAGUUG
Molecule: unclassified non-coding RNA, 259 nt
Filed under: Hevea brasiliensis (rubber tree)
Lineage: Eukaryota; Viridiplantae; Streptophyta; Magnoliopsida; Malpighiales; Euphorbiaceae
Source: RNAcentral